GGACAGCUGACGGGCCAUGCUGACUGUUUUGCUUGCUCUUUUACUUGGUGAUGGGGUUGGAAGCCUCAUCAUGCAGUGGCCAAAAAUAACCCUUAAGAGAGCUGGAGAGACUGUUGACAUCUCCUGCUACCAGAAUUAUACCACACUUGCCUAUAUGUACUGGUACCAGCAUCCUCCAAGACAUGGACUGAAGUUAGUAGCCAGUAUUGCUUCAUGGAUGAAGAACUCUUAUGAAGAAGGUUACAGCGAGGCCAAGUUUUACAUUACCAGAGACAGUAAUGAUUACUCUGUGAUGACGAUCAAGAAUGUGACAUACAAUGAUGCAGCCACAUAUAUCUGUGCUGCGAGCGAUCACACAGUAGAGGGAGAGGAUUGA
Molecule: non-coding RNA, 376 nt
Organism: Calidris pugnax (ruff)
Lineage: Eukaryota; Metazoa; Chordata; Aves; Charadriiformes; Scolopacidae
Source: the annotation of a RefSeq genome assembly